RNAcentral lists this long non-coding RNA (1479 nucleotides) under Oryctolagus cuniculus (rabbit). RNAcentral's name for it is "lncRNA (ENSOCUG00000032149.1)". The record is from RNAcentral. Lineage: Eukaryota; Metazoa; Chordata; Mammalia; Lagomorpha; Leporidae.
AUGGGAGACCUCCAUCCAACACGGGAGUCCUCCAUCCCACACAGGAGACCUAAAUCCACACGGGAGUCCUCCAUCCCACAUGGGAGUCCUCCAUGCCACACGGGAGACCUCCACCCCACACGGGAGUCCUCUAUUCCACACAGGAGACUUCCAUCCACACGGGAGUCCUCCAUCCCACACGGGAGUCCUCCACCCACAUGGGAGACCCCACCCCACACGGGAGUCCUCCAUCCCACAUGGGAGACCCCCACUCCACACGGAGUCCUCCAUCCCACACGGGAGACCUCCAUCCCACACGGGAGACCCCCAUCCAAUUGGAGGCCUCCCUUCCCCACCGGGAAGUCCUCCCUUCCCACCAUGGAAGACCUCCUUCCCGCACGGGGAGCCUUCUCCACCCCAUACGGGAGACCCCCACCCCACACGGGAGACCUCCACCCCGCAUGGGAGACCCCCACCCCACACGGGAGACCUCCUUCCACACAGGAGACCUCCAUCCCACACGGGAGACCCCCACCCCACACGGAGACCUCCAUCCCACAUGGAGACCUCCAUCCCACACGGGAGUCCUCCACCCCACACGGAGACCUCCAUCCCACACGGGAGACCUCCACCCCACACGGAGACCUCCAUCCCACACGGGAGACCUCCACCCCACACGGAGACCUCCAUCCCACACGAGAGACCUCCACCCACACGGGAGUCCUCCAUCCCACACGGGAGACCUCCACCCCACACGGGAGACCUCCCUCCCACACAGAGUCUUCCAUCCCACACGGGAGACCCCCACGCCACACGGGAGUCCUCCAUCCCACACGGGAGACCUCCACCCCACACGGAGACCUCCAUCCCACACGGGAGUCCUCCAUCCCACACGGGAGCGUCUGGCCCCGCUUCCUCCUAGUGAACACCAUGGGAGCUGCAUCGAUGGCUCAAGGACUGGUGUCCCCGCCACCGCUUGGAGACCCGGAUAGGGUUCCCAGGCCGGUUGCUGCUUGCAUCUGAGAAGUGACCGGCUGGCCAAGAGAUUCUGUCUGUCCCUGCCUGUCUCUCUCCGCCUUUGAAACGCAUCUCUAAAAAGUAAAGAACCAUUUGUCUUAAACGUCCAGGAUGCCAGAACAACUCGGACCUGCGCGCCGCUGGCCCUGGGAGGCUACUGCAGUCGGUCUGGCACCAAGACGGAAACGUGGACGAAGCCCAAAAGGGACAGUUUCCAGGGUCCUGACGGAGCACUGGCACCGGGACCUAGGCCCGCGUCCGCGCUGCCGGGAAUGGAAGCGGGGUGCAGGCCGGCGCCCGCUGACCUCCCAGGGGGCGCGCAGCAGCGCUACCCGGGCCACAGAGGCCUCAAGGGGAACGCAAACAGCGCGCCAGGGAGGCGAACCUGCGGCUCACUGCGCCUCGUGCUGGAUCCACUGGCCGGCUCGGACCCCUUCGAGACUCGGGGCCGCGGAGCCCGGCACACGGCCCUCUCGGGUCUCA